AGAGUUUGAUCCUGGCUCAGGAUGAACGCUGGCGGCGUGCUUAACACAUGCAAGUCGAACGGAGCGACUUCUCUUCGGAGGAAUCGCUUAGUGGCGGACGGGUGAGUAACGCGUGAGUAAUCUGCCUUGGACAGUGGAAUAACACAGGGAAACCUAUGCUAAUACCGCAUGAAGCGCUUGAGUGGCAUCACUCUGGGCGCCAAAGGAGCAAUCCGGUCUGAGAUGAACUCGCGUCCGAUUAGCUAGUUGGUGGGGUAAAGGCCCACCAAGGCGACGAUCGGUAGCCGGACUGAGAGGUUGACCGGCCACAUUGGGACUGAGACACGGCCCAGACUCCUACGGGAGGCUGCAGUCGAGGAUCAUUCGCAAUGCGCGAAAGCGUGACGAUGCGACGCUGCGUGGAGGACGACGGCCUUCGGGUUGUAAACUCCUGUCAUGGGGGAAAAAUGUAUUGGAUGUUAACAGCAUCUGGUAUUUGAUGGUACCUCAAGAGGAAGCCACGGCUAACUCUGUGCCAGCAGCCGCGGUAAUACAAAGGUGGCGAGCGGUGUUCGGAUUUUACUGGGCGUAAAGGCGCGUAGGCGGCAUUGUGUGUCGUCUGUGUUGUCCCCGGGCUCCUCCCGGGGUGUGCCUGCGCUUCUGCCGUGCUUGUGCUGUGGCGGGGUGGGCGGUCUUCUUGGUGUGGCGGUGGGUUGCGUUGNUNUCUUGUGGNCCCCCCGCGGCGUGGGCGGCUCUCUUGAAUCUUGUUGACGCUCAGGCGCGAAAGCCGGGGGAGCAAACAGGAUUAGAUACCCUGGUAGUCCCGGCCCUAAACGGUGCACACUUGGCGUGGGGGGCUUCACCCCCUCCGUGCCGGAGCUAACGUGUUAAGUGUGCCGCCUGGGGAGUACGGCCGCAAGGCUAAAACUCAAAGAAAUAGACGGGGGCCCGCACAAGCGGAGGAGCAUGUGGCUUAAUUCGAUGCAACACGAAGAACCUUACCCGGGUUUGACAUGUAACUGCACAUCCUGUGAAAGCAGGAUUCCUUCGAGGGUGUUACACAGGUGCUGCAUGGCUGUCGUCAGUUCGUGCCGUGAGGUGUUUGGUUAAGUCCAGCAACGAACGCAACCCCUGUGUCCAAUUGCCGGCGAGUAAUGUCGGGAACUUUGGACAGACUGCCUGUUUACGCAGGAGGAAGGUGGGGAGGACGUCAAGUCAGUAUGGCCCUUACAUCCGGGGCUGCACACGUGCUACAAUGGUCGGUACAAUGGGACGCUAAGCCGCGAGGUGGCGCAAAUCCCCAGAGCCGGCCCCAGUUCAGAUUGCGGUCUGCAAUUCGACCGCACGAAGUCGGAUUCGCUAGUAACGGCGUAUCAGCUACGACGCCGCGAAUAAGUUCCCGGGCCUUGUACUCACCGCCCGUCA
Molecule: ribosomal RNA, 1404 nt
Filed under: uncultured bacterium
Lineage: Bacteria
Description: bacterial SSU rRNA
Rfam family: Bacterial small subunit ribosomal RNA
Source: RNAcentral